This 21-nucleotide non-coding RNA is filed under the name Rattus norvegicus (Norway rat). Lineage: Eukaryota; Metazoa; Chordata; Mammalia; Rodentia; Muridae. The record is from RNAcentral.
UUAGAGAGUUUGGACUUUAAU